ACGGCUCAGUAACACGUGGACAACCUGCCCUUAGGUUGGGUAUAAACCCGGGAAACUGGGUAUAAUACCCGAUAGGUCUCGAUUGCUGGAAUGCAUCGAGAUUUAAAGCUCCGGCGCCUAAGGAUGGGUCUGCGGCCUAUCAGGUAGUAGUGGGUGUAGCGUACCUACUAGCCUACGACGGGUACGGGUUGUGAGAGCAAGAGCCCGGAGAUGGAUUCUGAGACACGAAUCCAGGCCCUACGGGGUGCAGCAGGCGCGAAAACUUUACAAUGCUGGCAACAGCGAUAAGGGAACCUCGAGUGCCAGGUUACAAAUCUGGCUGUCGAGAUGCCUAAAAAGCAUUUCAUAGCAAGGGCCGGGCAAGACCGGUGCCAGCCGCCGCGGUAACACCGGCGGCUCGAGUGGUAACCGUUAUUAUUGGGUCUAAAGGGUCUGUAGCCGGCCGGAUAAGUCUCUUGAGAAAUCUGGCAGCUUAACUGUCAGGCUUUCAGGAGAUACUGUCUGGCUCGAGGCCGGGAGAGGUGAGAGGUACUUCAGGGGUAGGGGUGAAAUCUUGUAAUCCUUGAAGGACCACCAGUGGCGAAGGCGUCUCACCAGAACGGACCUGACGGCAAGGGACGAAAGCUAGGGGCACGAACCGGAUUAGAUACCCGGGUAGUCCUAGCCGUAAACGAUACUCGCUAGGUGUCGGCCACGGUGCGACCGUUGUCGGUGCCGUAGGGAAGCCGUGAAGCGAGCCACCUGGGAAGUACGGCCGCAAGGCUGAAACUUAAAGGAAUUGGCGGGGGAGCACCACAACGGGUGGAGCUUGCGGUUUAAUUGGAUUCAACGCCGGAAAUCUUACCGGGACCGACAGCAAUAUGAAGGCCAGGCUGAAGACUUUGCCGGAUUAGCUGAGAGGUGGUGCAUGGCCGUCGUCAGUUCGUACUGUGAAGCAUCCUGUUAAGUCAGGCAACGAGCGAGACCCCCACC
RNAcentral lists this ribosomal RNA (972 nucleotides) under uncultured archaeon. RNAcentral describes it as "bacterial SSU rRNA". It matches the Rfam family "Archaeal small subunit ribosomal RNA", at positions 85 to 1058 of the family's 1478-position model. The record is from RNAcentral.